GGCUUCACAGCUCAGUUGGUCGAGCAUCGCACGAGCAUCGCGGAGGUCACGGGUGCGAAUCCCGUGGAAGCCC
RNAcentral lists this transfer RNA (73 nucleotides) under Acropora cervicornis. Its description in RNAcentral is "tRNA-Ala". It matches the Rfam family "tRNA". Rfam says of the family: Transfer RNA (tRNA) molecules are approximately 80 nucleotides in length. Lineage: Eukaryota; Metazoa; Cnidaria; Anthozoa; Scleractinia; Acroporidae. The record is from RNAcentral.